Sphaeramia orbicularis (orbiculate cardinalfish) is the source of this 773-nucleotide long non-coding RNA. RefSeq lists it as uncharacterized. The transcript has 2 exons. Lineage: Eukaryota; Metazoa; Chordata; Actinopteri; Kurtiformes; Apogonidae. The record is from RefSeq and is a predicted model, not a curated record.
GAAUGUGAUAGAACCGGUUUGUUCUUUUGCUGUUCGGUGGCUGAAUAAGUGCCUCUGGUAGCAGAUCAGUGUCUCACAGUUGUAAGUGUUAGUGUGACGGUGGAACGUUCUGAUCUGCUCCAUCACAUCCAUAACCUCCAUUAUGACAAAGGUCGGAACAGGAGUCUUAUUUUAGGCUGAGUUUGUCAUCGGACACAGAGGAUAAACCACACCAACCCCUGCCGUCUGUCACUGCAAACAGGAAAUAAGGUCACUGUGCAAUGGGUGGAUCCUCCUCUAAAAAAACAUUUUUCUGGCAAAAGAAGAAAAAGUCGCCAGUGAGCAGAGCCUGGGGUCGCCUGAAGGGGGCGCUGCCCAUCAAGAAACGCAGGAGGAAGAGCAUUGUAGACAUACUGAACCUGGACAACCUGAGGAAGGACAAGAAACAUUCCCAAAAGAGAUUCUCCCUGAAAACACACAAGAAAGAGCCGACGCUAGUGGAAAAACUGGGAAACAUAAGGAAGGAGUCGCUUCACAGUGUUUUGAAGGAAGACGGAAAAGGAGAGAGGAAGAAGAAGUUAUCUCUCUCUGUGAACACAAAGGAAGACAAGGAGAUAAAGGAUGCACAAAACAAACCCAAAAAGAGCCUAAACAGAAUCUGAAGGAGCUCUUCAAGUCCAUUCAUUCAUGACUACAGUUAAAGGUUACAGUUUGAGGACAGGGAUGAAGAAGAAAAAAAAAAAGACAAAAGCAGUCACAGAGAUGCGUCUUAAUUUUCAUUGACAUUGAAGCCA